RNAcentral lists this transfer RNA (72 nucleotides) under Bos taurus (domestic cattle). It matches the Rfam family "tRNA". From Rfam's summary of the family: Transfer RNA (tRNA) molecules are approximately 80 nucleotides in length. Their secondary structure includes four short double-helical elements and three loops (D, anti-codon, and T loops). RNAcentral also lists the same sequence under 2 other names. Lineage: Eukaryota; Metazoa; Chordata; Mammalia; Artiodactyla; Bovidae. The record is from Rfam by way of RNAcentral.
UCCCUGACAGCUCAGUUGGUAAAGAAUCUGCCUGCAAUGCAGGAGACCCGGGUUCGAUCCCUGGGUUGGGAA